This 422-nucleotide ribosomal RNA is filed under the name uncultured bacterium. Its description in RNAcentral is "bacterial SSU rRNA". It matches the Rfam family "Bacterial small subunit ribosomal RNA", at positions 358 to 772 of the family's 1533-position model. The record is from RNAcentral.
GGAAUAUUGGACAAUGGGCGCAAGCCUGAUCCAGCCAUGCCGCGUGUGUGAAGAAGGCCUUCGGGUUGUAAAGCACUUUCAGCGGGGAGGAAGGGGUUGUUGUUAAUAGCAACAAUCUUUGACGUUACCCGCAGAAGAAGCACCGGCUAACUCCGUGCCAGCAGCCGCGGUAAUACGGAGGGUGCAAGCGUUAAUCGGAAUUACUGGGCGUAAAGCGCGCGUAGGCGGCUUUGUAAGUCGGAUGUGAAAGCCCUGGGCUUAACCUGGGAAUUGCAUUCGAUACUGCAUGGCUAGAGUAUGGUAGAGGGAAGUGGAAUUUCCGGUGUAGCGGUGAAAUGCGUAGAUAUCGGAAGGAACACCAGUGGCGAAGGCGACUUCCUGGGCCAAUACUGACGCUGAGGUGCGAAAGCGUGGGGAGCAAA